This 301-nucleotide ribosomal RNA is filed under the name uncultured bacterium. RNAcentral describes it as "partial 16S ribosomal RNA". It matches the Rfam family "Bacterial small subunit ribosomal RNA", at positions 509 to 809 of the family's 1533-position model. The record is from RNAcentral.
CAGCCGCCGCGGGAAUACAGAGGGUGCAAGCGUUAAUCGGAAUUACUGGGCGUAAAGCGCGCGUAGGUGGUUUGUUAAGUUGGAUGUGAAAUCCCCGGGCUCAACCUGGGAACUGCAUCCAAAACUGGCAAGCUAGAGUAUGGUAGAGGGUGGUGGAAUUUCCUGUGUAGCGGUGAAAUGCGUAGAUAUAGGAAGGAACACCAGUGGCGAAGGCGACCACCUGGACUGAUACUGACACUGAGGUGCGAAAGCGUGGGGAGCAAACAGGAUUAGAUACCCGUGUAGUCCCUGUCUCUUAUAU